AGCCUUUUUUUAUUGGUCGAGAGCACCUAUAUUUCAACCGUCGGGAGACCGACUAUGGCGUUACAGGGCCUUAUGAAAUAAGCGUUGCGGACCCGGGGGCGGUACCCGGCGCCUCCACCAAACUCCGAAAUUGAUCGGAUUCCCGUUUGGGGGCGAAAUAGGAUCGACGCGCGUGGUAAAGAUUUGGUUUGCGCCCGGCAUGGUACCGCCGUUAUCGGGCCGAUUCGCUAAUUGCGAACGAUAACUUUACGGGCGAAGCCCGUCUCGCUGCUUAGUCUGACUAAGUAAGCGCGGCCCGGGGGGCGCCGGGCAACAGAAGCCCCCCACU
This 328-nucleotide transfer-messenger RNA is filed under the name Alphaproteobacteria bacterium. It matches the Rfam family "Alphaproteobacteria transfer-messenger RNA". From Rfam's summary of the family: Bacterial tmRNA, also known as 10Sa RNA or SsrA, is named for its dual tRNA and mRNA-like properties. Its role is to liberate the mRNA from a stalled ribosome. To accomplish this part of the tmRNA is used as a reading frame that ends in a translation stop signal. The record is from RNAcentral. Lineage: Bacteria; Pseudomonadati; Pseudomonadota; Alphaproteobacteria.